AUGAACGCUGGCGGCGUGCCUCAUACCUGCAAGUCGAGCGAACAGACGAGGAGCUUGCUCCUCUGACGUUAGCGGCGGACGGGUGAGUAACCCGUGGAUAACCUACCUAUAAGACUGGGAUAACUUCGGGAAACCGGAGCUAAUACCGGAUAAUAUAUUGAACCGCAUGGUUCAAUAUUGAAAGACGGUUUUGCUGUCACUUAUAGAUGGAUCCGCGCCGCAUUAGCUAGUUGGUAAGGUAACGGCUUACCAAGGCAACGAUGCGUAGCCGACCUGAGAGGGUGAUCGGCCACACUGGAACUGAGACACGGUCAAGACUACUACGGGAGGCAGCAGAAGGGAAUCUUCCGCAAUGGGCGAAAGCCUGACGGAGCAACGCCGCGUGAGUGAUGAAGGUAUUCGGAUCGUAAAACUCUGUUAUUAGGGAAGAACAAAUGUGUAAGUAACUAUGCACGUAUUGACGGUACCUAAUCAGAAAGCCACGGCUAACUACGUG
Molecule: ribosomal RNA, 496 nt
Filed under: uncultured bacterium
Lineage: Bacteria
Description: partial 16S ribosomal RNA
Rfam family: Bacterial small subunit ribosomal RNA
Source: RNAcentral